Molecule: ribosomal RNA, 552 nt
Filed under: uncultured bacterium
Lineage: Bacteria
Description: bacterial SSU rRNA
Rfam family: Bacterial small subunit ribosomal RNA
Source: RNAcentral
GUAGGGAAUUUUCCACAAUGGACGCAAGUUUGAAGGAGCAACGCCCGCNUGAGUGAAGAAGGUUUUCGGGAUUGUAAAACUCUGUUGNUAGAGAAGAACACGAGUGAGAGUAACUGUUCAUUCGAUGACGGUAUUUUACCAGCAAGUCACGGCNAACUACGUGCCAGCAGCCGCGGUAAUACGUAGGUGGCAAGCGUUGUCCGGAUUUAUUGGGCGUAAAGGGAACGCAGGCGGCCUUUUAAGUUUGAUGUGAAAGCNUUCGGCUUAACCGGAGUAGUGCAUUGGAAACUGGAAGACUUGAGUGCAGAAGAGGAGAGUGGAACUCCAUGUGUAGCGGUGAAAUGCGUAGAUAUAUGGAAGAACACCAGUGGCGAAAGCGGCUCUCUGGUCUGUAACUGACGGUGAGGUUCGAAAGCGUGGGUGCAAACAGGAUUAGAUACCCUGNUAGUCCACGCCGUAAACGAUGAAUGCUAGGUGUUGGAGGGUUUCCGCCCUUCAGUGCCGCAGCUAACGCAAUAAGCAUUCCGCCUGGGGAGUACGACCGCAAGGUUG